GACGAACGCUGGCGGCGUGCUUAACACAUGCAAGUCGAACGAAAAGAGGGAAAGAGCUCGCUCUUUCCGGAAUUGAGUGGCAAACGGGUGAGUAACACGUAAACAACCUGCCUUCAGGAUGGGGACAACAGACGGAAACGACUGCUAAUACCGAAUAAGUUCCAAGGGCCGCAUGGCCCAUGGAAGAAAAGGUGGCCUCUACCUGUAAGCUAUCGCCUGAAGAGGGGUUUGCGUCUGAUUAGCUGGUUGGAGGGGUAACGGCCCACCAAGGCGACGAUCAGUAGCCGGUCUGAGAGGAUGAACGGCCACACUGGAACUGAGACACGGUCCAGACUCCUACGGGAGGCAGCAGUGGGGAAUCUUACGCAAUGGGCGAAAGCCUGACGGAGCAACGCCGCGUGAGUGAUGACGGCCUUCGGGUUGUAAAACUCUGUGAUCCGGGACGAAAAGGCAGAGUGCGAAGAACAAACUGCAUUGACGGUACCGGAAAAGCAAGCCACGGCUAACUACGUG
Molecule: ribosomal RNA, 513 nt
Filed under: uncultured bacterium
Lineage: Bacteria
Description: partial 16S ribosomal RNA
Rfam family: Bacterial small subunit ribosomal RNA
Source: RNAcentral